CUCAGGGACUGGAAACCCGGCGCGAGCGGGGCCCGAAGCCGCGCGUCCGGAGGCCAUUGCGCAUGCGCUGGGCAGCCCGUGUGCCCUUGCGAGCGGCUUGACCUGGGACCCCAGGACUCGGGGCCAGACCCAGUGCUUGUUCGCCCCUGCGUGGCAUGGACAGGGAAGUGACCGCUGGGCUUUGACAGCUGCUUUUAAGGGAGGAAGCCGAGGGUUUUCUUACCUGCUCCUAAAACUGUGAAACUGUUGAACUCGAAAGACCCCUAAAGAGCGUCUCCGCCAGCCACCUCGGUUUUAUUAAUGGGGCGACUGAGAAGAUGGGAGGUGACGGAGGUGCAGCACAGAGGCCGGGAUGGUUUAGUGGGAGCAGACUUCCCAAGAGCGAACCAGAGUUUGACCUGUGUGAAGAACGUAAAAUUGGAACAACCAGGUAGCUUCAGCAGAACUUGAGUUGGCACCAGUGAUUUUAGCAAUGACAAGAGAUGGUGAAGACCACAGCACCAUUUAGGAAGAAAAGGCCUCAGCAUAGGACCUCGGUAGCUUUGGGGCAGGCACUUGUGGACACCAGCAGCUGCAGAAUGCUUUGGGCAGGUACCAGAGGCCUAUCUGCCCUUUAAGCCUCAACAGAAAUGGAGUAAUUUCUACUGAGAGCCACGCUGGAGCCGGCUGGAAGAAAAUAGUAAUGAAGACAAGAAAAUAGUAAUGAAGACAAGUAAUGGACUUCACAGAACAAUUUGGGAGAAAGGAAGGAUGUUUGACUCUCCUGAAUAAUGAAUGGAAACAGAGUCAAUGAAUUACUGUUUGGUAACUGUUGUUGCAGCCCUUUAUUUACUGUGAAGGAUUCUGUUGCCUGAAAAACGGGAUCUAUGAAAUAACAGGACUUACUGCUAAGGUAUAUCUGCUGCUGAGGACCCAACGCCCCACGAAGUGAACCUUGCCCUCCCACAGAAGAAAAAGGUAAGAAGCUACAACUCACUCACCUUUGCUCUAGUGCAGGACCAGUACGAUG
Long non-coding RNA from Rhinolophus ferrumequinum (greater horseshoe bat), 1009 nucleotides. RefSeq lists it as uncharacterized. The record is from RefSeq and is a predicted model, not a curated record. Lineage: Eukaryota; Metazoa; Chordata; Mammalia; Chiroptera; Rhinolophidae. The transcript has 3 exons.